AGGGAAUUCCCCAGUUUUGAUAAAUGCGAGAGUUCUCUGAAUUUCGAUAAUUCUAUUUCUGUCAUAUAAGAACUGAAACUGAAGUGGAGUUUUUCUAUAUUUUACUGUUGUGAAACUGAUAUUUGAUACUGUACUCUCAUAAAGAAAUAGAGAACCAUUCAUCAUAUCAUUUAAUAAACGUUUUUGUUCCAAAUCGCAAGUCGCGGGUUUGUUUAUGUAUUAAUGCGCAUGCGUAUAGUUUUCUUGAUUUCAAGGGGUAUCAGAUUGAGUGGUUGCUCUGGAUUCCCCGCUUCAUUGAUUAAUUUGAAACUCAUGGGAUUAUUUCUAUGUCUGUCUGCUAUUGAGGGUUAUUGUUGUUGCAUAAUUUUAAAUCGUAUGCAUCAUUUAAAUUAUAAAAAUAAAUGUUUUUUUUUUUGUUUACCUAUAACACCCCUUCAGUCGAAAUGGAGUCUUCCAUAUUAUCGUUUCGAGUUGUCUCCCUUCCGGAAAUAUUUUCCGUCAAAAUUGAAAUACAGUACGACUUGUCAAGAAAAAUUAACUCGUUAGAUUUCGUUAAAGGUCGUAUUAUAUUAAGAACGAUCUCAAUUUAAACAGAGGAGUGUGUACGGAAAGGAGUCAUGCCCACUGACCCAAAGGAAAUUAAUAUUUAAAGAGUUAGAAAUGGGGUUCCUCCUAGAAUUAACGGUGAUAAGAUACGAAGUGAAAUACCUUCUCUCAUUCUCAGUGACUGCUGUGGAAAGUAAACUUGGAAUUGAUAGUACAAAAAUAAAACACAAUAAGUACGUUGCUCAUACACUUGUAUGGUAUUGUAUCCGGGAUUGGCCAUUUUUAAAGUUGAGUGACUAUUCUGAUUAUUACAUUUUGCAUGUGCAGUUCAAUUAGUUUUGAAAAUAAAUAAUACUAUCCAGCUGUACCAGGGCUGCCAAAAAUGCGUGAGACUCACGCAUGUUCAUGCUUUUUUGCGGCAGUAUCCUUGGAUCUAUUUUUUUCCUCUUUGAUCUUUUCAAUUUUGGCCAAAUCUCACGCAUUUGCUUAAAGGGAA
RNAcentral lists this long non-coding RNA (1042 nucleotides) under Mytilus galloprovincialis (Mediterranean mussel). Lineage: Eukaryota; Metazoa; Mollusca; Bivalvia; Mytilida; Mytilidae. The record is from RNAcentral.